GGUGGAGCGAUUUGUCUGGUUAAUUCCGAUAACGAACGAGACUCUAGCCUGCUAAAUAGUUCGCCGAUUGUCUAAUCUGUCGGCGUUAACUUCUUAGAGGGAUUUGCGGUGUUUAGCCGAAAGAAAUUGAGCAAUAACAGGUCUGUGAUGCCCUUAGAUGUCCGGGGCUGCACGCGCGCUACACUGGCAAAAUCAACGUGCUUGUCCUUCCCCGAAAGGGGCGGGUAAACCAUUGAAAAUUUGCCGUGAUUGGGAUCGGAAAUUGCAAUUAUUUUCCGUGAACGAGGAAUUCCAAGUAAGUGCGAGUCAUCAGCUCGCGUUGAUACGUCCCUGCCCUUUGUAC
Molecule: ribosomal RNA, 343 nt
Filed under: Nematoda environmental sample
Lineage: Eukaryota; Metazoa; Nematoda
Description: bacterial SSU rRNA
Rfam family: Eukaryotic small subunit ribosomal RNA
Source: RNAcentral